This 425-nucleotide ribosomal RNA is filed under the name uncultured bacterium. Its description in RNAcentral is "bacterial SSU rRNA". It matches the Rfam family "Bacterial small subunit ribosomal RNA", at positions 354 to 796 of the family's 1533-position model. The record is from RNAcentral.
GUGGGGAAUAUUGGACAAUGGGCGCAAGCCUGAUCCAGCAAUUCCGCGUGAGCGAAGAAGGCCUUCGGGUUGUAAAGCUCUUUCGGCGGGGACGAUAAUGACGGUACCCGCAGAAGAAGCCCCGGCUAACUCCGUGCCAGCAGCCGCGGUAAUACGGAGGGGGCUAGCGUUGUUCGGAAUCACUGGGCGUAAAGCGCACGUAGGCGGCUACUCCAGUCAGAGGUGAAAGCCCGGGGCUCAACUCCGGAAUUGCCUUUGAAACUAGGUAGCUUGAACGUCGGAGAGGUAAGUGGAAUUCCGAGUGUAGAGGUGAAAUUCGUAGAUAUUCGGAAGAACACCAGUGGCGAAGGCGACUUACUGGACGACUGUUGACGCUGAGGUGCGAAAGCGUGGGGAGCAAACAGGAUUAGAAACCCGAGUAGUCC